UGAGGAAUAUUGGUCAAUGGGCGCGAGCCUGAACCAGCCAAGUAGCGUGAAGGAUGAAGGUCCUACGGAUUGUAAACUUCUUUUAUAAGGGAAUAAAGUCACCCACGUGUGGGUGUUUGUAUGUACCUUAUGAAUAAGCAUCGGCUAACUCCGUGCCAGCAGCCGCGGUAAUACGGAGGAUGCGAGCGUUAUCCGGAUUUAUUGGGUUUAAAGGGAGCGUAGACGGGCCGUUAAGUCAGCUGUGAAAGUUUGAGGCUCAACCUUAAAAUUGCAGUUGAUACUGGCGUCCUUGAGUACGGUUGAGGCAGGCGGAAUUCGUGGUGUAGCGGUGAAAUGCUUAGAUAUCACGAAGAACCCCGAUUGCGAAGGCAGCCUGCUAAACCGCCACUGACGUUGAGGCUCGAAAGUGUGGGUAUCAAACAGGAUUAGAUACCCUGGUAGUCCACACGGUAAACGAUGGAUACUCGCUGUUGGCGAUAGGCUGUCAGCGGCUUAGCGAAAGCGUUAAGUAUCCCACCUGGGGAGUACGCCGGCAACGGUGAAACUCAAAGGAAUUGACGGGGGCCCGCACAAGCGGAGGAACAUGUGGUUUAAUUCGAUGAUACGCGAGGAACCUUACCCGGGCUUAAAUUGCAGAUGAAUUACGGUGAAAGCCGUAAGCCGCAAGGCAUCUGUGAAGGUGCUGCAUGGUUGUCGUCAGCUCGUGCCGUGAGGUGUCGGCUUAAGUGCCAUAACGAGCGCAACCCUUGUUGUCAGUUACUAACAGGUUCCGCUGAGGACUCUGACAAGACUGCCAUCGUAAGAUGUGAGGAAGGUGGGGAUGACGUCAAAUCAGCACGGCCCUUACGUCCGGGGCUACACACGUGUUACAAUGGGGGGUACAGAGGGCCGCUACCACGCGAGUGGAUGCCAAUCCCCAAAACCUCUCUCAGUUCGGACUGGAGUCUGCAACCCGACUCCACGAAGCUGGAUUCGCUAGUAAUCGCGCAUCAGCCACGGCGCGGUGAAUACGUUCCC
Molecule: ribosomal RNA, 1017 nt
Filed under: uncultured bacterium
Lineage: Bacteria
Description: bacterial SSU rRNA
Rfam family: Bacterial small subunit ribosomal RNA
Source: RNAcentral